UGCGACCGGCGCACGGGUGAGUAACACGUAUCCAACCUGCCGAUGACUCGGGGAUAGCCUUUCGAAAGAAAGAUUAAUACCCGAUGGCAUAGUUCUUCCGCAUGGUAGAACUAUUAAAGAAUUUCGGUCAUCGAUGGGGAUGCGUUCCAUUAGGUUGUUGGCGGGGUAACGGCCCACCAAGCCUUCGAUGGAUAGGGGUUCUGAGAGGAAGGUCCCCCACAUUGGAACUGAGACACGGUCCAA
This 243-nucleotide ribosomal RNA is filed under the name uncultured bacterium. Its description in RNAcentral is "partial 16S ribosomal RNA". It matches the Rfam family "Bacterial small subunit ribosomal RNA", at positions 90 to 334 of the family's 1533-position model. The record is from RNAcentral.